GACGAACGCUGGCGGCGUGCUUAACACAUGCAAGUCGAACGGAAAGGCCCUGCUUUUGUGGGGUGCUCGCGUGGCGAACGGGUGAGAAACACGUGAGUAACCUGCCCUUGACUUUGGGAUAACUUCAGGAAACUGGGGCUAAUACCGGCUAGGAGCUCCUGCUGCAUGGUGGGGGUUGGAAAGUUUCGGCGGUUGGGGAUGGACUCGCGGCUUAUCAGCUUGUUGGUGGGGUAGUGGCUUACCAAGGCUUUGGCGGGUAGCCGGCCUGAGAGGGUGACCGGCCACAUUGGGACUGAGAGACGGCCCAGACUCCUACGGGAGGCAGCAGUGGGGAAUAUUGCACAAUGGGCGGAAGCCUGAUGCAGCAACGCCGCGUGCGGGAUGACGGCCUUCGGGUUGUAAACCGCUUUAGCCUGUGACGAAGCGUGAGUGACGGUAAUGGGUAAAGAAGCACCGGCUAACUACGUG
Molecule: ribosomal RNA, 468 nt
Filed under: uncultured bacterium
Lineage: Bacteria
Description: partial 16S ribosomal RNA
Rfam family: Bacterial small subunit ribosomal RNA
Source: RNAcentral